CCUACGGGUGGCAGCAGUGAGGAAUAUUGGUCAAUGGGCGCGAGCCUGAACCAGCCAAGUAGCGUGAAGGAUGACUGCCCUACGGGUUGUAAACUUCUUUUAUAAAGGAAUAAAGUGAGGCACGUGUGCCUUUUUGUAUGUAUUUUAUGAAUAAGGAUCGGCUAACUCCGGGCCAGCAGCCGCGGUAAUACGAAGGAUCCGAGCGUUAUCCGGAUUGAUUGGGUUUAAAGGGAGCGUAGGUGGAUUGUUAAGUCAGUUGUGAAAGUUUGCGGCUCAACCGUAAAAUUGCAGUUGAAACUGGCAGUCUUGAGUACAGUAGAGGUGGGCGGAAGUCGUGGUGUAGCGGUGAAAUGCUUAGAUAUCACGAAGAACUCCGAUUGCGAAGGCAGCCUACUAAACUGCCACUGACAUUGAUGCUCGAAAGUGUGGGUAUCAAACAGGAUUAGAUACCCUUGUAGUC
Molecule: ribosomal RNA, 460 nt
Filed under: uncultured bacterium
Lineage: Bacteria
Description: partial 16S ribosomal RNA
Rfam family: Bacterial small subunit ribosomal RNA
Source: RNAcentral